Molecule: long non-coding RNA, 99 nt
Organism: Olea europaea var. sylvestris
Lineage: Eukaryota; Viridiplantae; Streptophyta; Magnoliopsida; Lamiales; Oleaceae
Exons: 3
Source: RefSeq, a predicted model, not a curated record
AAAGGGAAACCUUCCCGUACGGUUCGGAGAGCACUGAAUUAGAAUGAGAGGUUCAUCACCACAUCAUUGCAUGCAAGGAAAGCUUGCUCGAUUCGUAGA